UGGAAAUGAUGUAACAUCUAACACCUGACAGUCUAUGGAGGGUAAACUACUGAUUUAAUGAGUCUGAUCC
Molecule: small nucleolar RNA, 70 nt
Organism: Polyodon spathula (Mississippi paddlefish)
Lineage: Eukaryota; Metazoa; Chordata; Actinopteri; Acipenseriformes; Polyodontidae
Source: RefSeq, a predicted model, not a curated record